GCGGUGAAGUCAGACCGGAAGGACUGGUGGAGCGCUUAGAAGUGAGAAUGCCGGUAUGAGUAGCGAAAGAAGGGUGAGAAUCCCUUCCACCGAAUAUCUAAGGUUUCCUGAGGAAGGCUCGUCCGCUCAGGGUUAGUCGGGACCUAAGCCGAGGCCGAUAGGCGUAGGCGAUGGACAACAGGUAGAGAUUCCUGUACCAGUGCUAAUUGUUUAACCGAUGGGGUGACACAGAAGGAUAGGGAAUCGCACGAAUGGAAAUGUGCGUCCAAGCAGUGAGUGUGAGAAGUAGGCAAAUCCGCUUCUCGCGAAGCAUGAGCUGUGAUGGGGAAGGAAAUUAAGUACGGAAGUUCCUGAUUUCACGCUGUCAAGAAAAGCCUCUAGGAAGAGUAGUACUGCCCGUACCGCAAACCGACACAGGUAGAUGAGGAGAGAAUCCUAAGGUGAGCGAGAGAACUCUCGUUAAGGAACUCGGCAAAAUGACCCCGUAACUUCGGGAGAAGGGGUGCUCUAUUAGGGUGCAAGCCCGAGAGAGCCGCAGUGAAUAGGCCCAGGCGACUGUUUAGCAAAAACACAGGUCUCUGCAAAACCGUAAGGUGACGUAUAGGGGCUGACGCCUGCCCGGUGCUGGAAGGUUAAGAGGAGUGCUUAGCUUCGGCGAAGGUACGAAUUGAAGCCCCAGUAAACGGCGGCCGUAACUAUAACGGUCCUAAGGUAGCGAAAUUCCUUGUCGGGUAAGUUCCGACCCGCACGAAAGGCGCAACGAUCUGGGCACUGUCUCAACGAGAGACUCGGUGAAAUUAUAGUACCUGUGAAGAUGCAGGUUACCCGCGACAGGACGGAAAGACCCCGUGGAGCUUUACUGCAACCUGAUAUGGAAUGUUUGUACCGCUUGUACAGGAUAGGUAGGAGCCGAAGAGACGUGUGCGCUAGCAUACGAGGAGGCAAUGGUGGGAUACUACCCUGGCUGUAUGACCAUUCUAACCCGCCACGCUUAGCGCGUGGGGAGACAGUGUCAGGUGGGCAGUUUGACUGGGGCGGUCGCCUCCUAAAGAGUAACGGAGGCGCCCAAAGGUUCCCUC
This 1079-nucleotide ribosomal RNA is filed under the name Listeria monocytogenes. Its description in RNAcentral is "partial 23S ribosomal RNA". It matches the Rfam family "Bacterial large subunit ribosomal RNA", at positions 1247 to 2323 of the family's 2925-position model. Lineage: Bacteria; Bacillati; Bacillota; Bacilli; Caryophanales; Listeriaceae. The record is from RNAcentral.